Molecule: ribosomal RNA, 406 nt
Filed under: uncultured bacterium
Lineage: Bacteria
Description: partial 16S ribosomal RNA
Rfam family: Bacterial small subunit ribosomal RNA
Source: RNAcentral
GAUGAACGCUGACAGCAUGCUUAACACAUCAGCAAUUGAUUGGUGGCGGACGGGUGAGUAACGCGUAUAGAACUUGCCCCCCAGGUAGGGACAACAUUUGGAAACGAAUGCUAAUACCUAAUACUGUGAGAGAGCUUUGCGUCCCAUUAGCUAGUUGGAGAGGUUACGGCGCACCCAGGCGAUGAUGGGUAGCCGGCCUGAGAGGGUGAUCGGCCCCAAGGGGACAGGGACACCGCCAUUACUCCUACGGGAGGAAGCAGUGGGGAAGAUGGGACAAUGGACCAAAGUCUGAUCCAGAAAUUCUGUGUGCACGAUGAAGUUUUCGGAAUGUAAAGUGCUUUCAGUUGGGAAGCGGUACCAACAGAAGAAGGGACGGCUAAAUACGUGCCAGCAGCCGCGGUAAUAC